UGGGGAAUAUUGCGCAAUGGGCGAAAGCCUGAUCCAGCCAUGCCGCGUGUGUGAAGAAGGCCUUUUGGUUGUAAAGCACUUUAAGUGGGGAGGAAAAGCUUAUGGUUAAUACCCAUAAGCCCUGACGUUACCCACAGAAUAAGCACCGGCUAACUCUGUGCCAGCAGCCGCGGUAAUACAGAGGGUGCAAGCGUUAAUCGGAAUUACUGGGCGUAAAGCGCGCGUAGGUGGUUAUUUAAGUCAGAUGUGAAAGCCCCGGGCUUAACCUGGGAACUGCAUCUGAUACUGGAUAACUAGAGUAGGUGAGAGGGGAGUAGAAUUCCAGGUGUAGCGGUGAAAUGCGUAGAGAUCUGGAGGAAUACCGAUGGCGAAGGCAGCUCCCUGGCAUCAUACUGACACUGAGGUGCGAAAGCGUGGGUAGCAAACAGGAUUAGAUACCCUGGUAGUCCACGCCGUAAACGAUGUCUACCAGUCGUUGGGUCUUUUAAAGACUUAGUGACGCAGUUAACGCAAUAAGUAGACCGCCUGGGGAGUACGGCCGCAAGGUUA
Molecule: ribosomal RNA, 549 nt
Filed under: uncultured bacterium
Lineage: Bacteria
Description: bacterial SSU rRNA
Rfam family: Bacterial small subunit ribosomal RNA
Source: RNAcentral